Molecule: long non-coding RNA, 955 nt
Filed under: Homo sapiens (human)
Lineage: Eukaryota; Metazoa; Chordata; Mammalia; Primates; Hominidae
Description: HSALNT0386977
Source: RNAcentral
CGUCAUCUAGGUUUUAAGCUCCACAUGCAUUAGAUAUUUGUCCUAAUGGUCUCCUUCCCCUUGCCCCCCGACCCCCAACAGGCCCUGGUGUGUGAUGCUCCCCUCUCUGUGUCCAUGUGUUCUCAUUGUUUAAAUCCCAAAACCCCCCACAAGUUCUGUAGUCAUAGCAACCCUACAAAACACCAGCAAGAUAUCAGAAUGGCCAUAAGGAGAACUUAGUUUACAUAGAAUCAAACAUACAAACAACAACAAAAGCUGGGGAAAAGUUUUGUAUCAUAUAAAGCCAAGGAAACCGAGGAAAUACUAUUUCUAAGAAUGAUCUUUAAUGGAAAGAAAAUCUCAACACCUUAUUUGAUCUGGAAACAAAACGUGGAAACACAGGAGGGAUGUCAGUGGCUAAACAAUACUGCCAUGUGACAACAGGAUAUCUAUGGAAAUUGAAAUAUAUGUGAGAGGGAAAUAGAAUAGGCUAAAGAGAGGGACAGAGAGAAGGGAUUCUAGCACUGAUCUAAUUCAUAAUCAUAUCUUUAGUUUCUUAAUACAGUACCCUGUAACAGACCAAGCACACAUCAAAUAUAUGUUGAAUAAAUGCAUGAUUAAAAGAUGUUAUGUUUCAAGAGCAUGUCAAUGAUCAAGGAUGACUCUAAAUGAAGACUGGGUAUUGCUAACCAGACAGAUGGCUCACCAGAUGAGUUCCAAUCCCUUCAAAUGCUCCAAUGAUGAUUCUCAAGCACAAAGCCUUUUGAAAUUCUUACAUUUAUAUCAGGACUUGAGAACCAUUGUUUUGAAUGUUCCCAAUUAUAUUAUCUUUUUUCUUUCUAAAAUGGAAAGUUUGAUGUUUUGUAAGAAGCUAAAAAGCCAUUUCAGUGACUCAAAAGGAAAAAACUAGACCAUGUUUUCUUAACUCUAAAGUGAAACUACACAGCAGUGAGUCAUUUCUGCCUCAGAAUGAAAU